UACGAAGGGGGCAAGCGUUGUUCGGAAUUACUGGGCGUAAAGGGCGCGUAGGCGGCCGAUCAAGUCAGGCGUGAAAUUCCCGGGCUCAACCUGGGGGCUGCGCUUGAUACUGAUUGGCUUGAAUGCGGGAGAGGAUAGUGGAAUUCCCAGUGUAGAGGUGAAAUUCGUAGAUAUGGGGAGGAACACCGGUGGCGAAGGCGGCCACCUGGACGGAUACUGACGCUGAGACGCGAAAGCGUGGGGAGCAAACAGG
RNAcentral lists this ribosomal RNA (253 nucleotides) under uncultured bacterium. RNAcentral describes it as "partial 16S ribosomal RNA". It matches the Rfam family "Bacterial small subunit ribosomal RNA", at positions 524 to 776 of the family's 1533-position model. The record is from RNAcentral.